CGCAGGCAUUUAAUCAUCUCGCAUCAUCACAUGGAAGAAGGGACUGCAUGGGAUCUCUAAUACCCAGAGCAUUAUAGAUGUUAUAGAAUUUUCUCAGUGCAAGACUCUUCACACACACGAAUGUGAAGUUUGUGGAAGAUGUGCAACAUGUUUAAGAUGAACAUUUACUAACUGAGACCUAAACCCACGCAUGCCAUUCUCAGUAUUUCUAAGAAACUAACCCUUGCCAAGGAAAACAAGCAGUAAGAAGACCUACUGGCACUUCAGACACUUAAGAACCUACAUAGGCUGGGCACGGUGGUUCACGCCUGUAUCCAGCACUUUGGGAGACUGAGGUGGGUGGAUCACCUGAGGUCAGGAGUUUGAGACCAGCCUGGCCAACAUGGUGAAACGCCGUCUCUACCAAAAAUAUAAAAAUCAGCUGGGCGUGGUGGCAGGUGCCUAUAAUCCCAGCUCCUCAGGA
This 463-nucleotide long non-coding RNA is filed under the name Homo sapiens (human). RNAcentral's name for it is "HSALNT0024092". Lineage: Eukaryota; Metazoa; Chordata; Mammalia; Primates; Hominidae. The record is from RNAcentral.